ACAGACGAGUUUGAUCCUGGCUCAGAACGAACGCUGGCGGCAUGCCUAACACAUGCAAGUCGAACGAAUGGUUUCGGCCAUUAGUGGCGGACGGGUGAGGAAUGCAUCGGAAUCUGCCUCGUUGUGGGGGAUAACGUAGGGAAACUUACGCUAAUACCGCAUACGACCUACGGGUGAAAGUGGGGGACCUUCGGGCCUCACGCGAUGAGAUGAGCCGAUGCCGGAUUAGCUAGUUGGCGGGGUAAAGGCCCACCAAGGCGACGAUCCGUAGCUGGUCUGAGAGGAUGAUCAGCCACACUGGAACUGAGACGCGGUCCAGACUCCUACGGGAGGCAGCAGUGGGGAAUAUUGGACAAUGGGGGCAACCCUGAUCCAGCCAUGCCGCGUGUGUGAAGAAGGCCUUCGGGUUGUAAAGCACUUUUGUUGGGGAAGAAACCGGCCGGGUUAAUACCCUGGUUGAAUGACGGUACCCAAAGAAUAAGCACCGGCUAACUUCGUG
This 499-nucleotide ribosomal RNA is filed under the name uncultured bacterium. RNAcentral describes it as "bacterial SSU rRNA". It matches the Rfam family "Bacterial small subunit ribosomal RNA", at positions 1 to 507 of the family's 1533-position model. The record is from RNAcentral.